CUGCGCAGAGAGCAUUUGCUGUGAAUCCUCAAAACCAGUGUCAGGACCAAAGAUGUUCCAACUUGGGAGCCUUGUUGUCUUUUGUAGCCUGCUCGCUGAGACCUCAGCAUCUCUUUUAGAUGCCCUUCAGAACCAGAACCUGGAUGUGGGUUUUCUUCAAGAAACCUUGAAAUGGCCAUUAGCUAAGAACAAUAUUAUAGAAGCCUUGAACACAUUGGACCUUGAUGUAUUUAACUACUUUUCAUCUCAGAAUGAUUUUGGGAUGUAGAGGAAAAGAAGGCUAUGAGGACAGUUGAAAAUGCUACUAGGAAGAAUGACAAGAGUGCACUUGUGGAUUUUGAGCAAGUUGAAAAUCAACGAAUUAAGUAUCUUGGACUUGCAAACUUCCUCAUCUUCUGACGGCAAUGGCAUUAACUUGAAGGUGCCAGUGAAAGCGAAUGCUUCAGUGUUUCUGCCUCUUCUUGGCUCCAGAGUCGAUGUUGCUAUUUCCUCCGUCCUUAUAACUUCACUCACUGUUCAAACAGAUGCCCAGACUGGCCUUCCCACUCUGACCAUAGGGAAAUGCUGGAGUGAUACAGACAAAAUCUCCAUUUCCUUAUUGGGCAGGUAAGGCUCAUAUGUCCCUUUCAGCUGGGUCAAUGUGCCUUAAGCCUCUGAAUGCAGUAACAUUAGAUUCACCUCUAGGGGAAGGCAGUGAGAUAAUUACAUGUUAGCAUGGGAUCUGAUUGUUCUGAUGUAUUCUCUUCUCUACCUUCUAGAAAAUUCCUAGAGAAAGCCUUGACAUUCCAAUUUUGUUAUUUUUUGUCAAUGAAUCCAUUUGAUCCUCAAAAUUUGGAUCUUAUUUUAUGCUUUGAAAAGUAUGUUUGGAUUAGGCAGGGGUUGGAGGAGGUGACACUACCCAGUGUCUCAGAGGGACCAUGGCCUGCAAGUCAAGGGCUGGGGCUGGGAAGUCUUGGUGAGGGAUACAGGGAUGGCCUCUCUUCCCAGCCUCAAUAUCCAUGUCCUGGGGCCCCUCACCUUCCCGCUACCAAAGAUCUAAUCUCAAAUAAAAGACAGGACCACAGUUUUGGCAAGCAAGUCCAAAGGACUGGGUUCUUCUUGACACUACCUGCCAAGCAGCUCCAGGAAACUCAUGUUGCUCCACUGAGUCUGAAUCCACAAGGCCAUGUAGACUCUCAUGAUACAGCUCAUGUCUCACUCUCCUUUAAACACAUUGGCUUUUGUUCUGUGCUCACACUAGUUUCUCCUAACACAGGACUUUGCAUGGAAGUGGUGGUUAUGUAAAACAUUGUAGUCCUUACUCUAUAUCAAUGUACCUUUCAUCUUUAAGUAUCUUGAUUGAUUCCCUCUUUUCCUCACAAGAGUAUACUCUUAACCUUCAGAGUACUUGUCCCUGAUGUCACUGUGUGUGCAAACAUAUUUUAUGACAGGGUCUCACUGUACAGCUCCGGUCAGGUUCAAUCUGUCUCCUUCUUUCUCUGGAAGGCUAGGAUCAAAGGUGGGUGACACUAGACCAGAUGACUCACUGUAUAUUUAACUGGACUUGUUCUUUGCUUAUUGUUGUUAAGGGGGAUGGGUGUUUGGGUGUGAGCACACAUGCGCAGGUGUCAGUGGCUGGAGACCACUAAGUGGGAUAAGAUGGCUGAGGACUCUCCCAUCUCUCUCUUCACUGCACAGAAUUACACGUGUGUGCUCUCACCUGGGUUUGCAUUCUCACUUGAUAUGGCAACUAGAGAUUAAACUCAAGUCCUCAUGAUUGCAAGGGGUAUAUUUUGUAGACUAGGCUAUCUUGUUGGCCACAUUUUUCUGUUAUUCUAGUCAAAACUCUGCUUAAGGCCAGGCAGGCAUUGUUCUGUGCCCUGGAGAAUAAUUUGGUGAAAGCAAACAGAUUCUGUCUCCUGGAAUACAUCCUGAGGAAAAGACAAAGCAUUGUUAUGAAAAAAAAUACUGGAAGGUGUAUCAGGCCUCCUUAAAAACACAGUGAAAAACAUGCUGCAAAACCAAAUAUGUCCACUGCUCCACUGGAUCCUCAGCAACCUGGACGUAAAUGCUUUUCAGAACCUCCUCUUUCUCUCUAGAAAUUGCUAUCACCAUCCGCAGAAAGUCUGCCUGAGCCUGCCUGAAACCCUUCAAGAUUCCCUUCUUCUCCCAGUUGUCUCCAUGCCUGUUAUCGCCACUCAAGCAUUAAAAUCCUAACUGCA
RNA transcript from Mesocricetus auratus (golden hamster), 2201 nucleotides. It is a transcript of the gene named BPI fold-containing family A member 2-like, with no coding region annotated. The transcript has 8 exons. Lineage: Eukaryota; Metazoa; Chordata; Mammalia; Rodentia; Cricetidae. The record is from RefSeq and is a predicted model, not a curated record.